UUGUUGGUAAGGUAAAGGCUUACCAAGGCUUCGAUCAGUAGCUGGUCUGAGAGGACGGCCAGCCACACUGGGACUGAGACACGGCCCAGACUCCUACGGGAGGCAGCAGUGGGGAAUUUUGGACAAUGGGGGAAACCCUGAUCCAGCCAUGCCGCGUGAGUGAAGAAGGCCUUCGGGUUGUAAAGCUCUUUCAGCCGGAACGAAACGGUUACGGAUAAUACCCGUGACUACUGACGGUACCGGAAGAAGAAGCACCGGCUAACUACGUGCCAGCAGCCGCGGUAAUACGUAGGGUGCGAGCGUUAAUCGGAAUUACUGGGCGUAAAGCGUGCGCAGGUGGUUUUGUAAGUCAGAUGUGAAAGCCCCGGGCUCAACCUGGGAACUGCGUUUGAAACUACAAGACUAGAGUGUGGCAGAGGGGGGUGGAAUUCCGCGUGUAGCAGUGAAAUGCGUAGAGAUGUGGAGGAACACCGAUGGCGAAGGCAGCCCCCUGGGUUAACACUGACACUCAGGCACGAAAGCAUGGGGAGCAAACAGGAUUAGAUACCCUGGUAGUCCAUGCCCUAAACGAUGUCAACUAGUUGUCGGGCCUUUACGGGCUUGGUAACGUAGCUAACGCGUGAAGUUGACCGCCUGGGGAGUACGAUCGCAAGAUUAAAACUCAAAUGAAUUGACGGGGACCCGCACAAGCGGUGGAUUAUGUGGAUUAAUUCGAUGCAACGCGAAAAACCUUACCUACCCUUGACAUGUAUCGAAGCCCGCAGAAAAGCGGGGGUGCCCGAAAGGGAACGAUAACACAGGUGCUGCAUGGCUGUCGUCAGCUCGUGUCGUGAGAUGUUGGGUUAAGUCCCGCAACGAGCGCAACCCUUGUCAUUAAUUGCCACCAUUUAGUUGGGCACUUUAAUGAGACUGCCGG
RNAcentral lists this ribosomal RNA (916 nucleotides) under uncultured bacterium. Its description in RNAcentral is "bacterial SSU rRNA". It matches the Rfam family "Bacterial small subunit ribosomal RNA", at positions 246 to 1155 of the family's 1533-position model. The record is from RNAcentral.